AAAACUUUCAACAACGGAUCUCUUGGUUCUCGCAUCGAUGAAGAACGCAGCGAAAUGCGAUAAGUAAUAUGAAUUGCAGAUUUUCGUGAAUCAUCGAAUCUUUGAACGCACAUUGCGCCCUAUGGUAUUCCAUAGGGCAUGCCUGUUUGAGCGUCAUUUCUCUC
Molecule: ribosomal RNA, 164 nt
Filed under: Dujonia zeylanoides
Lineage: Eukaryota; Fungi; Ascomycota; Pichiomycetes; Serinales; Debaryomycetaceae
Description: [Candida] zeylanoides 5.8S ribosomal RNA
Rfam family: 5.8S ribosomal RNA
About the family: 5.8S ribosomal RNA (5.8S rRNA) is a component of the large subunit of the eukaryotic ribosome. It is transcribed by RNA polymerase I as part of the 45S precursor that also contains 18S and 28S rRNA. Functionally, it is thought that 5.8S rRNA may be involved in ribosome translocation.
Source: RNAcentral